This 396-nucleotide ribosomal RNA is filed under the name uncultured bacterium. Its description in RNAcentral is "partial 16S ribosomal RNA". It matches the Rfam family "Bacterial small subunit ribosomal RNA", at positions 360 to 773 of the family's 1533-position model. The record is from RNAcentral.
AAUCUUGCGCAAUGGGCGAAAGCCCGACCCCGCCAGGCCGCGUGAAUGAUGACGGUACUAGGAUUGGAAAAUUCUUUCACCGGGGACGAUAAUGACGGUACCCGGAGAAGAAGCCCCGGCGCACUUCGUGCCAGCAGCCGCGGUAAUACGAAGGGGGCUAGCGUUGCUCGGAAUUACUGGGCGUAAAGGGCGCGUAGGCGGAUCGUUAAGUCAGGGGUGAAAUCCCGGGGCUCAACCUCGGAAUUGCCCUUGAUACUGGCGAUCUUGAGUAUGAGAGAGGUAUGUGGAACUCCGAGUGUAGAGGUGAAAUUCGUAGAUAUUCGGAAGAACACCAGUGGCGAAGGCGACAUACUGGCUCAUUACUGACGCUGAGGCGCGAAAGCGUGGGGAGCAAAC